CCUCCUCCCUGCGUCUCUCCUCCCUCCUCUCCUGGUUCCCGAACGGAUAUGAGCCACCAAUCCCAGCAACAAACAACCCUUCAAAUGAAAUAACUAGGCGGCCCUCUAACGGGCGCCGGGCAAGCCGGCCCCCUCCCCGCGCCACAUCUGUCCCGCACUCGGGCGCAGCAGCUGAUUCAUCUGCAGCCAGGCCCGGCGAAGGAACUCGGCUCCAGGCAGUUGCAAGCUAGCUCCAUGCUGGUGGUUUCUCCCCAGGACCCUGUCCUCCCUCCUCUGGCUGCCUCCCGUGCUUUUAGAUGUGUGUUCUCUUCUGGGCCGAGCAGUCGGCAAACCACAGAAGGAAAAAAAAAAAAAUCGUAAGGUUGCUGCCUUCUUAUAG
This 379-nucleotide long non-coding RNA is filed under the name Marmota monax (woodchuck). The record is from RNAcentral. Lineage: Eukaryota; Metazoa; Chordata; Mammalia; Rodentia; Sciuridae.